Molecule: ribosomal RNA, 253 nt
Filed under: uncultured bacterium
Lineage: Bacteria
Description: partial 16S ribosomal RNA
Rfam family: Bacterial small subunit ribosomal RNA
Source: RNAcentral
UACAGAGGUCCCAAGCGUUGUUCGGAUUCACUGGGCGUAAAGGGUGCGUAGGUGGUGAGGUAAGUCGGAUGUGAAAGCUCGGAGCUCAACUCCGAAAUGGCAUUGGAAACUACCUUGCUCGAGGGUUGGAGGGGGGACUGGAAUGCUUGGUGUAGCAGUGAAAUGCGUAGAUAUCAAGCGGAACACCAGUGGCGAAGGCGAGUCCCUGGACAACUCCUGACGCUGAGGCACGAAAGCUAGGGGAGCAAACGGG